RNAcentral lists this small RNA (110 nucleotides) under Paraburkholderia phymatum STM815. RNAcentral's name for it is "Burkholderia phymatum STM815 Burkholderia sRNA Bp1_Cand684_SIPHT". It matches the Rfam family "Burkholderia sRNA Bp1_Cand684_SIPHT". Lineage: Bacteria; Pseudomonadati; Pseudomonadota; Betaproteobacteria; Burkholderiales; Burkholderiaceae. The record is from Rfam by way of RNAcentral.
AGAAAAGUAGGUGCCGCCCCGCACAGGGGCGACGCAUGAAGCGAGACGACAAAGCAGGUUCAACGAGAGCGCCCGAAUGACCGUAUCCGAUCAUCGAGCGCUAGCGACAC